Molecule: long non-coding RNA, 1160 nt
Organism: Solanum lycopersicum (tomato)
Lineage: Eukaryota; Viridiplantae; Streptophyta; Magnoliopsida; Solanales; Solanaceae
Source: RefSeq, a predicted model, not a curated record
AAUCCUACCGUGUUAUCAAGAAAAUAUAUUACAAUUCUUUCAUUUUAAAUUUUAUGUUUUCAUCAUUAUUCUACUUAGUAUCAAGAGCGUUUGUUUUUUUCGAUAAAUAAUGGGCAUAACUUUUCGAUUGUGGAGUUCCAUUUCAAACCUUUCAUUAAAGGAAAGGGCCUCCUUGGAAUUAUGGAUUGAUCAAAGGAGGUACCCGCAGAAGAUAAAGAAAAAAAAGCUUGGUAUGCUGACAAUGGAAAUAUUAUCACAUGGCUAGUCAAAUCUGUCUUUGUAGAUAUAGCUACGGAAUUGACAUUGUUUGAGAAAGCAUCAGAAAUGUUGAGUAAGCUACAUAAACUCGGUAACCAAAAAAAUCUGGCUAGAGAAUUAGAAUUAAAAACUACUUGCGGAAUCUACACAAGGUGAGAAAAAUGUUUGUUCUUUUUAAUCUGUAUUACGUACAUUAUGGACAGAGCAAGAUCAGGUUUUUUCUGCCUGCAUCCCUGUGGAUGGAUUGAACUUAGAAGGACUUCAUGGCUACAAAGAAAAGAACAAGGAUUGUACAAUUUCUAAUGAAAAUCAGGCCUGAGUCAAAGUAUUUGUGUGCUAAUAAUAUUAACAAUAAAAACUACAAGCUUUGUAUGUGGUAGUUUGUGAUGUCCUAGAAGAUACUCGAUUAAGUUCUCAAGCUUCUAUGGAGAACUCCCUUACAAUGGAAAUUGCCAUAGCUGCAUACAAAGAAUCAUCUUUCUCAAGCAACUCCAACAAGCCUAUUCAAUGCAAUCAUACAAGGAAAAGACUUAAAAAGACUAUUGAAAGGCUAUACAUCAAGGUGUGGAUGCAUUAAUUCUAACAGCAACAAAUGCAACAAUUAUUGGAAGUAGAUGGGUGUUUUCUAUCAAGAUAAAAGCUGACGGAUACCUAGAUUGAUACAAGACAAGAUUGGCAGCUCAAGGACAAAGCAGGAAUUUGGAAUUGAUUGCGAUGAAACAUUUUCUCCAGUAGCUAUGAUGACGACAAUAUGUAUAUUGGUAGCUUUAGAAGUUUGAAUUUACAUCAUAUGGACAUCAAGAAUGCUUUCUUGCAUGGAGACUUGUAUGAAGUUAUCAGGAUGAAUAAACCACCAGGUUACAAUUUUUUUUAAUCUAAAUAAGGUGUGUUUUCUUAAUAAA